UACACACACGUAUGUGUAGUUUCUCUCAAAACAUAUAGUUUGCAAAAGAAUAAUAAUAAGUCGCCUACGAAUAAUAGUAGAGUUAAUGUGCAAAUAUUGGUGUAAUAACAUCGUGAAGGCAAUGAGAAUUUUUAAUGCUUUGACUUGAUCACAUUCCACCUGUCAUAUCCUUCCAAAGUCAAUUAUUCUAGAAAAGUGACCUAUUUAGCCGGAAACUGUCUCUUGUGGAAGUAUUCAACUUCAAACAAUUUAAAUUAUCUGUGACAGCAUCUAAAAGGAAUAUUUCAUG
Long non-coding RNA from Frieseomelitta varia, 289 nucleotides. RefSeq lists it as uncharacterized. Lineage: Eukaryota; Metazoa; Arthropoda; Insecta; Hymenoptera; Apidae. The transcript has 2 exons. The record is from RefSeq and is a predicted model, not a curated record.